GAUGAACGCUGGCGGCGUGCCUAAUACAUGCAAGUCGAGCGAACGGACGAGAAGCUUGCUUCUCUGAUGUUAGCGGCGGACGGGUGAGUAACACGUGGAUAACCUACCUAUAAGACUGGGAUAACUUCGGGAAACCGGAGCUAAUAACGGAUAAUAUUUUGAACCGCAUGGUUCAAAAGUGAAAGACGGUCUUGCUGUCACUUAUAGAUGGAUCCGCGCUGCAUUAGCUAGUUGGUAAGGUAACGGCUUACCAAGGCAACGAUGCAUAGCCGACCUGAGAGGGUGAUCGGCCACACUGGAACUGAGACACGGUCCAGACUCCUACGGGAGGCAGCAGUAGGGAAUCUUGCACAAUGGGCGAAUGCCUGACGGAGCAACGCCGCGUGAGUGAUGAAGGUCUUCGGAUCGUAAAACUCUGUUAUUAGGGAAGAACAUAUGUGUAAGUACCUGUGCACAUCUUGACGGUACCUAAACAGAAAGCAACGGCUAACUACGUG
RNAcentral lists this ribosomal RNA (497 nucleotides) under uncultured bacterium. Its description in RNAcentral is "partial 16S ribosomal RNA". It matches the Rfam family "Bacterial small subunit ribosomal RNA", at positions 28 to 507 of the family's 1533-position model. The record is from RNAcentral.